This 208-nucleotide ribosomal RNA is filed under the name uncultured bacterium. RNAcentral's name for it is "partial 16S ribosomal RNA". It matches the Rfam family "Bacterial small subunit ribosomal RNA", at positions 568 to 775 of the family's 1533-position model. The record is from RNAcentral.
CACGUAGGUGGAUAUUUAAGUCAGGGGUGAAAUCCCAGAGCUCAACUCUGGAACUGCCUUUGAUACUGGGUAUCUUGAGUAUGGAAGAGGUAAGUGGAAUUCCGAGUGUAGAGGUGAAAUUCGUAGAUAUUCGGAGGAACACCAGUGGCGAAGGCGGCUUACUGGUCCAUUACUGACGCUGAGGUGCGAAAGCGUGGGGAGCAAACAG